Molecule: ribosomal RNA, 496 nt
Filed under: uncultured bacterium
Lineage: Bacteria
Description: partial 16S ribosomal RNA
Rfam family: Bacterial small subunit ribosomal RNA
Source: RNAcentral
GAUGAACGCUGGCGGCGUGCCUAAUACAUGCAAGUCGAGCGAACGGACGAGAAGCUUGCUUCUCUGAUGUUAGCGGCGGACGGGUGAGUAACACGUGGAUAACCUACCUAUAGAACGGGGUAAACUUGGGGAACCGGAGCCAACACCGGAAGAAAUUUUGAACCGGCAGGGUUAAAAGUGAAAGACGGGCCUGGCGUCAACUAAAGAUGGAACCGCGCUGCAAUACCUAGUUGGCAAGGGAACGGCUUACCAAGGCAACGAUGCAUAGCCGACCUGAGAGGGUGAUCGGCCACACUGGAACUGAGACACGGUCCAGACUCCUACGGGAGGCAGCAGUAGGGAAUCUUCCGCAAUGGGCGAAAGCCUGACGGAGCAACGCCGCGUGAGUGAUGAAGGUCUUCGGAUCGUAAAACUCUGUUAUUAGGGAAGAACAUAUGUGUAAGUAACUGUGCACAUCUUGACGGUACCUAAUCAGAAAGCCACGGCUAACUACGUG